AUCUAGCUGACGAGUCCCAAGCGGGACAAAGCACGCGUCCUGGAU
This is a non-coding RNA of Schistosoma haematobium, 45 nucleotides long. The record is from Rfam. NCBI's taxonomy places the organism in Eukaryota, Metazoa, Platyhelminthes, Trematoda, Strigeidida, Schistosomatidae.